CAAUCCAAACGGAUUGAACUGAGCCGAGCAUUUCUCCGAGUUCGAACUCACAGAAAUUCCAUUCCUUCUGUACACUCUUCCUUUUGCCAUCCCUAUUCGGAAUAGCACUACGCGUGUUCACUCCGUCCCUCUGUGACUGUAAAAUCGCCACACCAGAGGAAGCGCCAAGAAAGAAGGAAGAAGGAGAAAAGUUUCCCUUCUUCCAUGGCGUGUGUAAUCUCCUUCACUAUUCCAAUGCACCUUCCUGCUUCCCAAACCCUAGACAAGGAAAUGCGUCCAAGAUCGGCUCUUGGAAGGCUAUCAAGACAAGCAACCAGCAGAACAGAUCGUAUUUGUGUUUUGCUACAUGAAUGAGGCAAGGAUGCAGAUAAUAAGUUUGAGCUCAUCAACUAACUAAAUCCUCAUGGAUUUGGAAACAAGUUAAAACAAUUUAGAUGUGAAAAGAUUGAAGCAAUAAAGGACCCCAUUUGGAGAGCUCGUGAAUGUGAUCAUUGCGAUUUUUCUUGCUUCACUGGAUUUUUUGGGAUGGCCCAUUGAUGGUCGAAUUUUUUCGGCAAGACUGCAAUUAAACACAAUAAUGACGAAUGUUAAUCAUUUAUCUCCUUUAAAUUUUACUAGUGACAUUGCUUUGAAUUACCACUUAAAUCCAUUUUUUUUCAUGUCGUGUAAGAAAUGGCAUAGAUAUUUUGUAUGUUAUGAUAAGUGCAGUUGAUAGGCUUCAACAAUGAUGCCCAUUCUUACCAAACCGAAUAAUUGUAUAAUAUUUGCAGCAAUCGCGCUUGUUGCUCCGAAAUGCAUGUCUUUGGUAGAUAGGAGCUGUAAUUGCCAUAAAAUGAAUAUCAGCAGACAUGUUUGUGGAUCUGGUUCUCAUCCUUUUAAUGUAAGUUCUAGUUCUCCUGCUGUAAUCUCAGGUUUUUGGGUGGGACCAGAUAUCGAAGAUGGAUGGGGUUUUGUAGAGGCUUUUAUAAACCAAAUAUUUUGAUUCUUGGUCGUGUCUGAAUUGCUUUCGCUUGGCUUCCUCCCAUUGAGGGUUAACCUUAGUAGAUCAGUAUUACACA
RNA transcript from Rhododendron vialii, 1058 nucleotides. RefSeq lists it as uncharacterized. The record is from RefSeq and is a predicted model, not a curated record. The transcript is spliced from 3 exons. Lineage: Eukaryota; Viridiplantae; Streptophyta; Magnoliopsida; Ericales; Ericaceae.